This 253-nucleotide ribosomal RNA is filed under the name uncultured bacterium. RNAcentral describes it as "partial 16S ribosomal RNA". It matches the Rfam family "Bacterial small subunit ribosomal RNA", at positions 524 to 776 of the family's 1533-position model. The record is from RNAcentral.
UACGUAGGGGGCUAGCGUUGUCCGGAAUCAUUGGGCGUAAAGCGCGUGUAGGCGGUCCGGUAAGUCCGCUGUGAAAGUCGGGGGCUCAACCCUCGGAUGCCGGUGGAUACUGUCGGGCUUGAGUACGGAAGAGGCGAGUGGAAUUCCUGGUGUAGCGGUGAAAUGCGCAGAUAUCAGGAGGAACACCAAUUGCGAAGGCAGCUCGCUGGGACGUUACUGACGCUGAGAUGCGAAAGCGUGGGGAGCAAACAGG